GUGAACCCUGAUCUCAGCCAGGUCACUGCUACAGCCGCCACUGAGAUAUCAUUGGCAACCACGGAGACCCAUGUGCCAAUAGGCUUGUACUGGUGAAAUCCCCAGGGAAGCAGAUAACGCUGUUGUGAGCCAGGUGAAGGUCUCUUCAGUGUCCCUGGACAGUUCUGCUGUGGUUAAGAAGCAGCGAGGUUGGUCUCCUGUGUGUGUGGGACAGAUGGAGAGAGAAGAGGUCCAAACUGAAGGGGCCAAAUCACCUACAUUCACUCUGUCCCUCAUCAGAGAGGAGCAGCUAAUGAACAGAGGGUUGAUGAACCUCGGGAACAGCUGCUGCAUGAACGCCAGUCUGCAGUGUCUGUUUCAUGCAGAGUCUUUCUGCAAACAGCUCUCCAGCCAGCUGAGCAACCAGAUUCAUGACCCAUCAGCUCAGCUGAUCAGGUGUUUCACUGACUAGUGGUGGAUGAGGGAGAGCGCUGACUGGGGGAUGAAGGCCUCUCUCCUCAUGGAGUUCAUCGAAGCAGCUGCUGCCACCAACCCUGAUUUCACUGCAGACACCCAGAAUGAUGCACAAUUCCUGUUUCAUGUCUUGGGCCAAAUGCAGCAGAUUGGCCCAAUGCUGAGCUGGGAAGGAGGCGUGGUUUAUGAUUGCCCAGUCCAGGCAAACUUUGGGUUCCAGCUCACAUCCAUCAUCACAUGUGGCGGUUGUGGAACUCAGAAAAGCAUUUAGGUGGACUUCAAUCUCCUUGCUCUGGCUCUGCCAGCUCAGGGCUCAGUGAAGGACUGCCUCAGACUCUUCUUCAGUGAUGAGGCAGAAGUUGAGUGCAGGUGUGAGUUGUGUGAGGGUAACUCUGCCAGCUGCAGGUGGGCGUUUCACACUCUGCCCAGCUGAAGAGGUUCCAGCUGUCUUCAGCUUUUACAUUGUUAAAGCAGCGUAAUAGGGUCCACAUAGACUCUGAGUUUCAGCUGACCCUACCAGUGCAGAGAAUUCCUGAAGACCACACCCACAAAGAGCCCAAACCCCCCGAUCCUCUGGGUCGACUCAUGCCUUCAGAUGGGUGAAUCUAUAUUCAGAUAUAGAUUAGUCAGCGUGUUGAACCAUAUUGGACGCAGUGUACACGCUGGACAUUAUGUGAGUGACUGCUCCAGUCUGCCGGACUCCUGGUGGCUGUCGUACGAUGAUGAGAGGGUCACCAUGAAGACGGAGGAUCAUGUUCUGAAGCAGAGGCAGCACAGUGCUUAUGUGUUGUUCUAUGAGAUGAAGUGAACUCUGUGUGAUGCAUAACCUGCUUUCUUCCCUCAGCUCCACAGCUCCUGCAGCCACACUCAGUCUCUGAGCCCUGGAGAGCACACACACUCUCUCAGCUCUAAUCUCUGAUUGACAUCUCCAGGCUCCGCCCACAGAUGUGUUCUGAUGACAGACCUUUAAUGAGGGUGGGGGGCUGAAGUAAGACCAGGAAGGAAUCCUGAGUGAAAACAUGUAAAUUAUUCAUAUUUUGCU
Pygocentrus nattereri (red-bellied piranha) is the source of this 1495-nucleotide long non-coding RNA. RefSeq lists it as uncharacterized. The record is from RefSeq and is a predicted model, not a curated record. NCBI's taxonomy places the organism in Eukaryota, Metazoa, Chordata, Actinopteri, Characiformes, Serrasalmidae. The transcript is spliced from 11 exons.